Molecule: long non-coding RNA, 1215 nt
Organism: Pecten maximus
Lineage: Eukaryota; Metazoa; Mollusca; Bivalvia; Pectinida; Pectinidae
Exons: 2
Source: RefSeq, a predicted model, not a curated record
UAUAUAGCACAAAGCUACGCGUGCACGUACACGUACGUUGCUGAAAUGCUGGUGAAGUUCGUCAGUACCACAACACUAACCUGGCAUGAUGCUCAAGGCUAUUGUGUCAAUGAGAGUGGUAGACUAAUUGUCUUAGAUACAAUGGAAAAGUACCACGCCAUCAGGUCGGAUCCCCUACUGAACGAACGACGUGAUUGGUGGGUAGGAGCUGAGAUCCAAUCUACAGACCAAUGGACGUGGACGACUGGGCAAACGGUUGAUUCGGGCAUGGAUGUAACUGAAGAUAGUCCUGGUUGUGACUUUCUCGCUUUCUAUGAUGGAGGUUUAACUGACAGUUGUAGCGAAUGGCAAACAGGUUUUAUUUGUGAAAAGUGAAACAUUUUACCGAAACAGUAAAAAAUCACACAUCAAACAGGAAUGUUUUCUAUCAAAGAUUCCAAGAAUAUACCAUGGAAUUCCAACACAGUCGCAAUAAAAUCAGACAAUAUCUAGUUUUUAUGCAAAACAAUUCACCAAGCAUAGUCCAAAGUGAGCAAUAUCGGCUGGAAAAUAAUAUAAGGGCUUUUUUACCUUUCGGUCUCUUGAUUAAAGAAAAAAAAACAACAAAAAAAACGUAAACGUAUGUUUUAAUGAACCUUUGUGUGUCUGUGUGAUUAUCAAUGAGGUUCUUAGUACGAAUUUAAUGAGUGAUUUGUGAUUUAAAAAAAAUCCUUAAUCAAUGAAAUAUUUAUUAAAACAAAUAACAAUCUUUAUUUAUUUCAAAUAAUUGAUCAUAUUUAAAAAAGAAUGAUUAAUAAAGGAUAGGUUAUGUUUUCAUUAGAUUCAGCUCUGUCGAAUACAGAUGGAAUCACCUGAGGAUAAACCUGUAUUCCUAAUAUUUAAGAUUCUAAGAUAAGGUCACCUAAAAUAUUAACAAAUCGUGUCUUUAAUAAAAUAUAACCUCUUCCAGAAAGCAAGAACUUUAACAGUGAGUAUAAGUUGAGAUUGGGAUUAAUUCUGUCAAAAUGGAGAUUUUCUGAGUAUAAUGUUAAAUUUGAUUGCAUUUCAUAAAAAAAUGUUUUGAAGUUUUAGUGCCAAGGCUUGCAGAAAGCUUCCAUGACUAUUUUCGUAAAACAUCAUAUAAAAUGAAAACUCUUUUCAGAUUCUGAGUGUAUUAACACCAUCAAGUUAUUGCCUUUCGCAAUGUGAUAUCCACAACUCGUGUUAUAUAAUCAU